CAGUAGCCGCGGUAAUACGGAGGGUGCAAGCGUUAUCCGGAUUUACUGGGCGUAAAGCGUGCGUAGGCGGCUUCUUAAGUCGGAUGUGAAAUCCCUGAGCUUAACUUAGGAAUUGCAUUCGAUACUGGGAAGCUAGAGUAUGGGAGAGGAUGGUAGAAUUCCAGGUGUAGCGGUGAAAUGCGUAGAGAUCUGGAGGAAUACCGAUGGCGAAGGCAGCCAUCUGGCCUAAUACUGACGCUGAGGUACGAAAGCAUGGGGAGCAAACAGGAUUAGAUACCCCAGUAGUCCCUGUCUCUUAUAC
This 301-nucleotide ribosomal RNA is filed under the name uncultured bacterium. Its description in RNAcentral is "partial 16S ribosomal RNA". It matches the Rfam family "Bacterial small subunit ribosomal RNA", at positions 509 to 807 of the family's 1533-position model. The record is from RNAcentral.